AUUGAACGCUGGCGGCAGGCCUAACACAUGCGAGUCGAGCGGAUGAAGGGAGCUUGCUCCUGGAUUCAGCGGCGGACGGGUGAGUAAUGCCUAGGAAUCUGCCUUGUAGUGGGGGAUAACGUCCGGAAACGGGCGCUAAUACCGCAUACGUCCUGAGGGAGAAAGUGGGGGAUCUUCGGACCUCACGCUAUCAGAUGAGCCUAGGUCGGAUUAGCUAGUUGGUGGGGUAAAGGCCUACCAAGGCGACGAUCCGUAACUGGUCUGAGAGGAUGAUCAGUCACACUGGAACUGAGACACGGUCCAGACUCCUACGGGAGGCAGCAGUGGGGAAUCUUGGACAAUGGGCGAAAGCUUGAUCCAGCCAUGCCGCGUGUGUGAAGAAGGUCUUCGGAUUGUAAAGCACUUUAAGUUGGGAGGAAGGGAAGUAAGUUAAUACAUUGCUGUUUUGACGUUACCAACAGAAUAAGCACCGGCUAACUUCGUG
Molecule: ribosomal RNA, 484 nt
Filed under: uncultured bacterium
Lineage: Bacteria
Description: partial 16S ribosomal RNA
Rfam family: Bacterial small subunit ribosomal RNA
Source: RNAcentral